Molecule: ribosomal RNA, 832 nt
Filed under: uncultured bacterium
Lineage: Bacteria
Description: bacterial SSU rRNA
Rfam family: Bacterial small subunit ribosomal RNA
Source: RNAcentral
UAUUNGUACUNGUAAAGAGGAUUCCUAGUGGCGAACGGGUGAGUAACGCGUUGGUAACCUGCCCCAAAGUGGGGGACAANUCCGGGAAACNGGAGCUAAUACCCCAUGUGGUCAUGAGANUUAGAUGUCUCAUGUCUAAAGGAGUAAUCCGCUUUGGGAGGGGCNUGCGUCCCAUCAGCUAGUUGGUAGGGUAAUGGCCUACCAAGGCAUACGGGUAGGGGACCUGAGAGGGUGGCCCCCCACACUGGAACUGAAACACGGUCCAGACACCUACGGGUGGCAGCAGUAGGGAAUAUUGCACAAUGGGCGAAAGCCUGAUGCAGCAACGCCGCGUGCGCGAUGAAGGCCUUCGGGUUGUAAAGCGCUUUUCUGAGGGAAGAGGAAGGACGGUACCUCAGGAAUAAGUCUCGGCUAACUACGUGCCAGCAGCCGCGGUAACACGUAGGAGGCAAGCGUUAUCCGGAUUUACUGGGCGUAAAGCGCGUGUAGGCGGUUUGACAAGUCGGAUGUGAAAGCUCCUGGCUCAACUAGGAGAGGUCGUUCGAAACUGUCAGACUAGAGAAUGGUAGAGGAAGAUGGAGUUCCCGGUGUAGUAGUGAAAUGCGUAGAUAUCGGGAGGAACACCAGUGGCGAAGGCGGUCUUCUGGGCCAUUUCUGACGCUAAGACGCGAAAGCAUGGGUAGCGAACGGGAUUAGAAACCCCGGUAGUCCAUGCCGUAAACGAUGCGAACUAGGUGUCGGUGGUGUAAAAACUAUCGGUGCCGUAGUUAACGCGAUAAGUUCGCCGCCUGGGGACUACGGCCGCAAGGCUAUAACUCAAAUGAAUUGACGG